This is a long non-coding RNA of Lotus japonicus, 4956 nucleotides long. RefSeq lists it as uncharacterized. The record is from RefSeq and is a predicted model, not a curated record. The transcript is spliced from 2 exons. Lineage: Eukaryota; Viridiplantae; Streptophyta; Magnoliopsida; Fabales; Fabaceae.
UCCUCAUAUAUGAACCUGCAAUCUUCCUUUUCACCACUCGUUGAGCCACAUCGAUCAGCCGUCGAUCAGCCGCCAAACAUCUGACUCGACCAUUGGGGAAUCAAUUGGCUCCAUCAAGAGAGGGUGAUGUCCACGACGAUGUCGUCCUUUUGCGGCCUUAUUUUCUCCUUCUGGCAAUUCAUGCACUUUGGAAAUCAUUCUUUCUCUCGCCGAACCCUGUCAAGUCUCGCCCACGACCCUCAUCCACACAUCGCGAGGCGCGAGCAGAUGGUGAAUCCACGCGUGAUCUCUGUUCUUCGCUGUCGACACUUGCAGACUAGGAAAGCAGCUUGAAUGGUCCUGAUAUGGAAGUUUUGGAGGUUCAGGACGACGACGACCACAGUGGUUGUCUUUUCCGCUCCAAUCAGUUGUUUAGUCUUUGCAAAACUGCAAAGAGGCUUGAGCAUUUCGUUUUUUGAGGCACUAUGUCGAAAUAAGAUAAGCAAAAUCUUUUCCAUUCUUCUUUUUCUCUAUUUCGAUGCCACCGUUUGGGAGUUUUUAGUUCAUCUUUCUAUAUUAAUGUGGAAUUUUAACUUCUACAAAAGAUUGACCUGAAAAAUGAUGAAUAGAUUUUCAUCUGUAUUUAAGUAAAUGUUGGUGCAUGCUAAUUGUGUGAUGAGUUUCAGUGAACACAAACCAUCCUUCCUUUAUAUUUCACUAUAAGUUUCGUGCAUACUAAUUGUUUGAUAAAACGCCUGACCGAAUUUCUCUCCCUUUUCAUGGUGUUGCUGUAAAAUUCAUCAUGAAUAUUGAGAAGCUCUUAAAGCUUGGAGAAUACUUAGAAUCUGGAACUGAGACAUUCCGUUUGGUUUGCAUCGUUUACUCUUAUAAUUGUCUGAUAUUCUUGGACUGUUUUUGUUUUUAGGAAUCAAACAUGUGGUGAAGUUGCCAUUCCCAGUACAGGACAUAAAUCAGUACUAUGUUAAUAGAUGAUAAUUUGAGACAAUCUACUUCAUUUGUGCUACCCAUUUUUCUCUUAAUAGAGUUUUGGGUAUAUGAACUUUCCUAUCUUGGAUGCAAAAUUGAAACCUUACCAGCAUUUUGCUCUCGUGGCCAAAUUAUUACUUGCAUAUUAAUUGGCCAAAAACUUUGCAUUAGCCAAAAUUUAUGUUACUAAAUCACUAAGCAUGUUACAUGAACAUGGAGGUGCUUCCUCUAGGGUUUAUGGUAGUCAUUGUUGAACAAAAGAGAGAACCUGUGUUUUGUGCAGUAAUUCCAGGAUCUGGUUGCAGCCUCCUUAUUUUGAUUCUCUUUAAUGGUCUAAGACUCUAAGUAGUACAUGUUGUGCUUGGAUGAGAUGAUCGUGCCUAAGACUACUAACUACAAGCUUGAUUUUAAUGGAUUUCUAUCCAAGGUUAUAUUAUGUUUAUUGUCUUUCAUUUAGUUAUAUCAUAAACUUAUAUAGCUUGAACUCUUCCAAUUUUUGAAAUCUAAGAUUUUAUUUUUGGUUCAUUAUGUGUUGUGGCCAAAAGUUGAAGGUUAAAUCCUAUAAGUUAAUUGAUUAACUUUCUCUGAUAUGUUAAAUCAGCAGCAGGGAGUGAAAAGACGCAACAAGUGUCCUUAAAUGUUCCUAUAAGAUGCAGAAUUUUGACUUGGAUAACAACACAUGAUUAAAACUAUGUUUUGUCUUAUUUAAUUUUGUUUUACCAGUAACUUUAUGAUCUUUGUGUUAAAAUAAAAUAUUAUGUCUUUGAACAGGUGGUAGCAGUAGAGGUUUGAGGUAGGGAUGAUGAGAGGAUUUGGUAGCUUUGAUCUCCACAGGUUCAAACAUUGCAUUUAAACAAUUUUUCUCAAUUGGUUUCUGAAAAACCUGUGUUGUUGAUGAGAUGUUUUCCUUCCGAUGUAAACCUAUGCUUCCCCUUUCCGGUUAAUAUGUUGUUACUGAUGUUUACCCUGCUUUUUUGGAUUAAUGUCGUUUUCCUUUACUUGCAGGAAUAAUUCAUUUAGAGGUAUUUUGAUUAGUUUUGGUUUCAUUCUAAUAGUUGUUUUUUAUUUCUUUAACAGGUCUUAAUCUUAAUGGUUAAAGAUUUUUUGAUACCUUUCAGAAGUUUUAAUUGCUAUUUAUAUUAAUACUUAAAUUGGUUUGGUUUAGUUGGUGGGUUGUUAUUCGCUCCCUCUAUUGAUAUUUGCUUCCUUUUACUGUGCAAAUGGUGUACCCUUGAGUGAAUAAGUUGCAGAUGUUUUAUUUUCAUAUUGGGAUUUGGUAUUGUUUGAUCACUGAUGUAUGUUAGAAGUUUGGUACAUUGUCUAUGCUUCUUAAUUUGGUGAUUUAUUGAUCAUGUCUCAUAAAUUUUAGGCUUAAAGGGUUCAAAGGCCCCUGAGAUUACAAAGGGAAUCAAAUCCAGGACCUGGAAAAUUUUCGUAUCAAAUUGAGCCCCUAAGAAAUUUUUUUUAAUUCAAUUAAGGCCAAAUAUUGCCACAGCUCAAUUUUGUCCUAGUCACUUUUACCACGUGGCUUUUAUAAUUAUUUUUUAAUUAAAAAAUUUAUUUUUUUAAUUCCAACUCAUUUAUUUAAGUAGAAAAAACUUAAUAAAUCCCUAAUUUAAAUAAAAUCCCUUAACUAAAUAAUUACCUAAAUAAUAACCUAAUCUAAUAAUCUAAUAAUAACAAAAAACAUCAAACCCAACAAGAAAUUAACAAUCCCUUCAACAUCAAACAACACAGAUCUAGGGUUUCACUAACAAUUCACAAAUCUUCAUCCUCAACCCCAACAACUGUUAUCUUCUUCCUCAACUCCCAAAAAAUCCAUUCUUCUUCUUCUUCUUCUUCCCCACCCCCACCCACCCAACAAACCCAAAUCUUCAUCCUCAACCCCAACAACUGUUAUCUUCUUCCUCAACUCCAAAAAAAUCCAUUCUUCUUCUUCUUCUUCUUCUUCCCCACCCUCACCCACCCACCCAACAAACUCAAAUCUUCAUCCUCAACCCCAACAACUGUUAUCUUCUUCCUCAACUCCAAAAAACUCAUUCUUCUUCUUCUUCCCCACCCUCACCCACCCAACAAACCCAGACAACCAGAACCCCACCACCCUCAAUCCACAUGCAAAUCCGAGUUCAGUCUCACCUCACCAACCUAGAUCCAGCCCAGAUCGAAGCAUAUCCGGACAAAUUGAAGCAAGGAGAUGGCAAAGGUGCAGCAAGGAGAGCUUGGGUUUGGCAAUGGCAGCAAAAAAGGGUUGGGUGUGGUGGUUGGGGUGGGUUUCAGUUUUGCUGGUUGCGGGCUAAAGAAGAUGAAAUUUGGGGUGGGUAGAUAGUGGUGGUGCGUGGGUUCGGAGGUGUUGAGGUGGGUUGGGGUCUUGUUUCUGGAUUCUGAAUUUUUGGUGUGGUUAUGGGUUUUCAAUGGUGGGGGUUGAAGAGGUGAGGAAGGUUGCAGGGAGUGAUUUGUUUUAUUUUUAGAUUUAUGUUUUUAUUUACAUUAGAGAUUUUAUUAAGUUUUUUAUUUUUUAUUUAUGCUUUAAUAUAUGAGUUGGAUUUAAAAAAUUAAGUUUUAGGAAUUUUUCAAUUAAAAAAAAUUUAAAAUGCCACAUGGAAAAGCUGAGUAUGCUAAAAUUGAAGCCACUUCAGCAUCAGACACACUUUGUCCUUAAUUGAAUUAAAAAAAAAAAAAUUCUUAGGGACUCAAUUUGAUGCGAAAAUUUUUCAGGUCCUAGAUUUGAUUCCCUUUGUAAUCUCAGGGGCCUUUGGACCCUUUAAGCCUAAAUUUUAGGAUGAAUAGCUAAUGAUUUAUUCUAAUUAAUCAUAUUACCUAAUGCCUUUACUCUUCAUUCGUUCUGAUGCAUUUGAAAAUAAUGAUUUGUUGUAAUUCUUCAUUCAAAAGCUAAGGAAGUUUUGUUUUUCCUAUUUUCUUUUAACUGGAGUUGCUCAUAUGGGUAUGUUGAAGUUCAUGAAAGUUGAAGUAGUAGCCAUAUAUCAUGUAAAAAGCCACUUACAAAUAUGUGCCAUUCUUUCAAUUUGCUCUUUUAUUAGCUUAGGUUCUUCACUCUAUCUUUUAAAUAAUUCUUCUAUUUUGUACAACUCAUACUGUGCCCCAAGAUGCAUGUUCUAAUCCAAUUGAUAUGCUUUCACUGAACAAUCACAUGUUCUUAGGAAAAAUUCAUCUUGAAGUCAAGACUCAAGAGUCAGUCUACCACAAGUGACUAUGAUCUGAGUGUGUCUUUAACUUAUCUCUCUAAUGUAGUAUUUUCUUUACACUUAUAAGUAUUAAAAUUUGGCAGCACAUAUCUUAACUUUUUAAAAGAAGCGAUGAAAAAUCUAAUGUUUGUUCAUGUAGCUAAUUUAUUGCCCGAAAACCUCUAGCUACUUGCUUCUCACUGGAUUAUCCUCACGCUCUAUAGUAGAGUGAUGCAAACCUGGAUUUGUUUCUGUAGCUAAAGCAUGAUGAAAAAUGAGGUUCCAUUUCAUUCUAUUUGCUAUUUGCUGUCUUUAUUGGCUCAGUUUGUUCACUUUAUUUUCACAGUGACUUAAGGUUUGAUUCUUUUUCAUAAGCCUAAUAAUUAGUAUUUUUUAGCUGUUAUUUAUGAUUAUUGCUGGACCAGUUUAAGAUUUAAUGUGCUACUUUGGUCCAAAAGGAAACUGCUAUUUUGGUAAUCAGGACUUGAUUUUUUAAGCUGUCAUGACUCACGACAGUCCUUAAGUAGUUGCUAAUGUUCUCUCAAAUUGGAUAGUUACGUUACUAACUAUUAAUUUCUUAGUGAUAUAUGCAGCUUAACAGGAUGCUAUAUUUUGGAGCCGAAUGAGAAAAACUUCUUUCUACUUACAAGCCGUUACUCUUAGUUUAGCGUACCUUCCUCAGUUACUUUCACUUUGUUGUGUUUAAAUUUAUCAACUGAUAUCAAAAUUACCAUUAUUACAUACAUGUGUCGAUUGCAAUGGUUAGAAUUCUCCUUAAUUUUUCAAUGGCAUUCCUCCCUUUUUUUAA